This is a long non-coding RNA of Brassica napus (rape), 2112 nucleotides long. RefSeq lists it as uncharacterized. The transcript has 4 exons. The record is from RefSeq and is a predicted model, not a curated record. NCBI's taxonomy places the organism in Eukaryota, Viridiplantae, Streptophyta, Magnoliopsida, Brassicales, Brassicaceae.
UAUAAAAUAGAGUUUAUUCACUCCAGAACGCGCCACCUCAGCAGACAGGUCAGAAAGUCAUGCUCUAAAAAGUGACACGUGUCUCAGGAAGACAAAACACAUUCUCUCCCCUUCAUUCGACGGCGUUGACACCUGAGUUUCUUCAGAUUAUCUGAAACGGUCAGAUUUAAGGCUUUCGUGUUAAAUCUCAUUGAUUCAGUCGCUCACGAUGAUUUCUGCGAGACGGUGUGUGUUAGGUAUAAAUAUGUGAACAUAAGGGCGAUCAAGCUUCCAUGCGUUCAUGAUAUUUUGAGAUGCAAUCAACUCAAGCUUUAAACCAGGUCUUCGUGGCUUCAUCAAAACAUGAAUCUAAGAAGGCUCCGUACAAUGAUUUUGAGGGUCCCGGUUUCAAUCCCUAAUACCGUUUAAGAAUCAGUUGACUGGAAGCGGCAGUACCUAAAGUCUGGGUAGAUCGAGUUUCAAGGUUUUGCUUUCAUACUACUCUGACUACUUUAUGAAAUCUGAUAGAAGUUCUUCAAAAGGAAACUAACGUUAAUUCUUUGAACAAAUUGUUUUUUGAGGUUUUGUUUUAAGCCUUCUUCUCUGACCAUUUUAUGAAAAUCUGAUGUUAUCACUUACAAGGUUUUGAGAAAUUAACAGAGUCUUGGGAAGGAAUUGAAUUAAAAGAGGGUGAACAACUUCAAACAUGCAAGGCAGAAUAAACCACUUUGGCCUCGAAAUUACCUUCUUCCCAACUUAUUAUCCACUGCAAAAAAACCACUGGAAAUGUAAAGCGUCAAUUAUAGAGAAAGUUAGCCUUAUUUUCAAUUUAAUUGCUUAUAGAUUGAGAACUAACCUGUAGGAAAUGUCGGUGAUGGAUUGUUUAUAGAUUCUAUAUCAGAUUGAUUAAUGGGCUAACAGGGUUUAAUGAUGGCAAGAAUUUUCAUAUAAUAUUGUAGGAAAUGUUUUCUCACAGAUUAAUUGUUUUCUGGUCUGGUCAGGUCAACAAGAUUUGGUUUCCUAAAGUUUCUGGUGUUGUUCCUGUCAUCCUGAUGUGAUAACUUCUAAUUGUUCUGUGUUGGCAAGGGGAUAAAGCUUUAAGAUUAAAUGAGUGCAUUGUUAAGGCUCCCUUAUCUCAGUAAAUUCAUCGCUCAAAAGAUUGCGUUGCAGGUUAGAUCAUUCCGAGAAUUUCAAGAGCUUCACUUGGAAGAACGUCUUCAACUCCUCCGGGGGUUGCUGGUUUGUCGGAGAGCAAUGUUGUAGACAUCGAGAAGGUGUAUAGAAAUGAUACCUUCUUUGAAAGUAGGAGUCACGUGCAAAACAGAAGGUGAUAGUUCAAGCUUGGAUCACUCUAAAACUUUUCAAUUGACUCUUAGGCGCUAUUCCUCCCUCUCCUUACCACAAAGAGAAAGGCUUAUGGGCUCUUCUUGCGGAUUCAAACAAUGUAUGGCUCUUUCAAAAGGUUAGUUUCAUGGAUGGAGCUGAAGCUAUACUCUUCUUCAACUGAUGUUUGUUAGACAUUGAAAAGUUUAGGAGCAAGCGUCGAGGCAAAGAACAAUGAAGUUAGAGAAGGUUAAAAGCCGAUCAAGAUUGGAAAUGGGGAAACGCUAAAAACUUGCAGAAGAUACUAAUAAUUUGACUUGCUUAUGAGUUUGGCGUAAGAGAUGCUUGGAUCAGUUGUGAUCAAAAGACAUUACUUAAAGUUGAGGUUUUGAAAAGAACCAGUGAUUUGGAGGGUGAGGUUACAGAAGAAGGCAUGGAGGAGGAAUAAGAAAAUGAGAAUGAAGAGAAUUAUGAAAGCAAAUAUAGUGAGGAAGAGGAAGAUAAGAAGAAAGGAUCAAAGAGAGUAAAAAAGAUGGGAUCAGAUGAAAAUUGAAAAACAAAAAGGCGUCAAACCUGCACUGUGUAGGUUUUUGCCUCCGAAAUUUACAGUGAUACUCAAUGACUUUAGCCUGUUAUUUGUUCUUCCGCUGAUUUCGUAGACGUUUUGGAUUUUGAUGGUUUUGGACUUUUGUUAACUCUUUAAUUUAUGUCUUGAUCCGACUCUUCUAAGCUUUACUGUAAAAUAAGUUAAUGCUUCCUGUUUCGGUUAUUUACCUGGCUUUGGAUGUGUUUUAAAGGUUUUACUGGGUA